RNAcentral lists this ribosomal RNA (441 nucleotides) under uncultured bacterium. RNAcentral describes it as "partial 16S ribosomal RNA". It matches the Rfam family "Bacterial small subunit ribosomal RNA", at positions 29 to 506 of the family's 1533-position model. The record is from RNAcentral.
AUGAACGCUGGCGGCAUGCCUAACACAUGCAAGUCGAUCGGUAAGGCUCUUCGGAGUACACGAGAGGCGGACGGCUGAGUAACGCGUAGGAACACACCCUGCAGUGAGGGAUAAGACACCGAAAGGUGUUCUAAUACCGCAUACGGUCUUCGGAUUAAAGCAUUUAUGCGCUGAAGGAGUGGCCUGCGUCAUAUUAGAUAGUUGGUGAGGUAAUGGCUCACCAAGUCGAUGAUGUGUAGCUGGUCUGAGAGGAUGAUCAGCCAGACUGGAACUGAGACACGGUCCAGACUCCUACGGGAGGCAGCAGUGAGGAAUAUUUCACAAUGAGCGAAAGCUUGAUGGGGCAAUGCCGCGUGCAGGAUGAAGGCCCUCGGGUUGUAAACUGCUUUUAUAAGAGAAGAUUAUGACGGUAACUUAUGAAUAAGGGACGGCUAACUACGU